Molecule: long non-coding RNA, 2007 nt
Filed under: Canis lupus familiaris (dog)
Lineage: Eukaryota; Metazoa; Chordata; Mammalia; Carnivora; Canidae
Description: lncRNA (ENSCAFG00040020836.1)
Source: RNAcentral
GCCCACUCCCCGCCCCAUCCCCCCCGCAUCCCGCCUUAGCCCCGAGCAGGCCCCCCCCCUCCUCCUCGCACCCGGCCCAGCCCCGUCCCUGCGGGGGUCCCUGUACCCACCAUUACACUGCGCCUCACUCGGCCGCGCCCCCCGGCCCUGCGCCCCCUCGGGACGGGCAGUCCGCGGGCGGCGCGGGCCACGUGCUGGGGUCUGUGCCGUCACUCAUUGUGCUGCAGCCAAUGGGCGGCGCCGGCGCCAGGCCGCCGCCCCGAGGUGCGCACCCCCACGCCCAGAGGGGCGCAGCAGCCGGGGGCCCAGGCACCGCCGGGGGAGGGAGCGCUGCGGCUAACGUCGGCUCCAGCGACCGCCAGAGGUACGCCCCAGACGGAGGGACGCCGCCUGCGGGGGGUGACGCCCGGAGGGACAGGGCUGCGGGCGGGGGCGGGCUGCGGGUGGGGCGGCGGCAGGGCUGUGCGGGCGCUGCCAGGCCGAGAGGGAAAUGACAGGCGACACGGUGAUCGUCCUCAAACUCAGGCCGGCGAGCACAUGGGGUGCGCGCGCAGUCGUCGACGGAGCAGCCCCCCCGCGGGCGCGACAGCCGAGCGGCGCUGCCCCCCCGCACUCCGAGACCGCGGGCCCAGGGGCGCUGGCCGCGAAUUCGGCACCGCGGGGCACACGCCCCAAGGCCUGCCUUACCCGGACGGGAGGACAAGCGGGGACGCCCAGCACUCAAGGCUGACGCUCAGAGGCACUCGGAGCUCCCCGAUCCUCAGCUCCCAGCGAGGCCAACCGUGGGUCCCAAUUCCGGGCUGCAGGGCCGCGCUCCUCCACGCCGGCCUCCCUUGCACGUGGGAAACGCAGAGAGCCUGGGAAUUCCACUGACGCUGGCAUCUGUGAGCCGCACAAUGAAACCCCGUGUCUGAUUUCCUGCCCUGAGCCCUUGAGGGAGAGGGAGUUAGAGGAUUUGGGGGGCUGCGGUGCAGGGGCGCUGCUGGUCCUACUGUGAGCCAAGCGGACAAGGAAGUACCCUGCGCUCGUCCCACCUCGCCCCGCUGUCGGGGCGCCCCGGGCUCCUCGCACACCCCGACCUCGCAGCCGUAGUGAGCACCACGGGCAGGGGAGCACCCGCCCGCCCCCGGCUCCCCGGGCCGGGCCUGGAGCCUGCCGCCUGGGGGUCCCUGCCGCCCGCCCGGGAGUCUCACCCCCCCAAGGGCAAGGGCGGAGCCGCCCCCAGGAUCCAUCCCGGCGGUCCGGCUCGGGGCCCACGCCGGUUCAGUCCCCAAUCAGGCGGCAGGAGUCAGCAUUCUAGAAACAGUCCCUCCGCGGAGGGAACUGCAGGCGAGCAGCAGGGUCCUCGGCCUGACGGCGGGGACUGCGGGGACGGGCGGCCCGGAGCCCCCCGGAGCCCCGGGGCUGUGGGAGGAACCUGAGGCCCAGGGCGAGGGCAGGAGGGGGGGCUGGCCUCCGAAGCGAGGGCCCUGGACUCGUGGGGGGACUGCUGUCGCCCGCGGGGAAGGAGGAAGCCACAUGACCCUCCAAGGGGGGACCCCGCGCAGGAGGGGGCUGCUGAGGCCCCGGCUUCCCGCCGCUGGGCCUGGCCUGGGCGCCCCACCUCUGCUGUACCCCCGCCCCCCGCUGCCAUUCCUGCUGCAAUGACUGUGGUUCUUAGGCCUCGUGUGCUUUCCCACACCUGCCUGGACGCUCCCCUGUGUUUGAAGGAAGCCCCGCACCCAGCCUGGGGCUGGGACGCCCCACCCCGACACCCAGGGGUGCGGCCCUGGCGACCGGCCGCCCAGCUGCGCCUGGCCUGGGCCCCUCGGAUGUCGGCUCUUCCCGUGACGCCUUGCCCUGGGUCCUCGGGUCCGUGUAGCUCAGGGGCUGGUGGCCACGUGCGGAGCGAGUGGCUUUCUACCCCAGUAGUGCAAACCGUGUGUAAAUACCUGUGAGCACCCUCCGUGAGCUCAGCAGGAUUCAAAGGUCAGUCCCUGAGGUGCAGCCCCCUACACACACGCGCAC